UCUUUGUAUGAUUAGUAGAGAAUUCAUUUCCAAAAUAAUAUUUCAAACAACAAUUGAACAAUAUUGUUACCAUGGAAAUACUCGUUUAAAAAUUAAUUCUAAAUUCAAGGUUGAGGCAAUAAACAUCAUUAAACCUAGUGUUCCCUUUUAAGCUAUAAAAACAAGCCAAGCCUUCUAUACUUUACACAUGGUAUGGAGUGAUGGUCAGCCACAAAGGAGAUAUAGACAUGUCAACAGUUCUACCCAAUCUGUAGGCUUAUCAGAAUCGCCUCUUCUAAAUCAUUGGCAACCAUAUAACACAGUUCCUUAACAACACAAAGUCAAGUGAUACACACCCAGUCUCACACCUUGCAUACAGUCGUCUCCUGUGAGAAGAAAGAAAUUUUUAAAAUCCAAAGUCUCGCACUUCACAUCCAGACGUCCUCUUUGAGAAGUGAAGACAUUUUGAGUGAGAUCCGCUAUAUUCAAAGUGAUUUAAUUUGGUGUGCCCUGCAAGUUAGCUUCUUCCAAAUCGUUAGUCUAUGAGCUGUCUCAAUAUUGGAUGUGACACAAGGCUGUGCUGAUUAUUUCUAUAGAAAGGAAAAAUCAUUAAAGUCGUCCUUAUUUUCAAGGGUUUCUUCAAGGAUGUUGCCAAAAGUCAAUGGAUCAGUAUAAUUGGUGAACCCAUGUUAUAAACAAUACUGUAUAUUUCAAACUGCUUUUUCUGUGAACAGAGAGGGAAGACGCGAAAACUUUCUAAACUGGAGGGCGCAACGGUGUCUCGGCGACCCAGCACGGCCUGGUGAAACUAUUAAAACAAUAAAAUACUUCAUGUACUGCAGAUGUCAAGAAUUUACCUCUACUCAAAUUCAAAAAGGCAACAAAGAGAGUUUUAAUCAAUGCUUGUUUGUUCAAAGUACAAGAA
Molecule: long non-coding RNA, 904 nt
Organism: Homalodisca vitripennis (glassy-winged sharpshooter)
Lineage: Eukaryota; Metazoa; Arthropoda; Insecta; Hemiptera; Cicadellidae
Exons: 3
Source: RefSeq, a predicted model, not a curated record